CCUCAAAGAUCUCGUCUCGUGAGACCUCUAUGCGACAGUGUCCAGCCUGUGGUUGCUGCAGCGACAGCUCGUGUCUGAGCAGCUUCAGUUUGUGGACCAGGUCUCUCUCGUAGCGCAGAGUCACUUCCUCUUCUCCUCCUCCUCCUCCUCCUCCUUCCUCCUCCUCCCCCACCUCCAUCUCUCUCCCUCCUCCCCCACCCAGCGGCUGAGACGCUUCCUUCACCUGGGAAUGUUGGCUGGAGACACACAGAAAGGUCUGAUGUGUUUUAUUUUACAUAUCUUUCAUACUGAAUGUUAUCAGAUAUUCAACCAAAACCUGAUAUUAGAUAAAGGGGGAAACCUGAGUAAUAUAAUUAUUUUAUUUAUUUAAUUAACUUUCUGCAAUUUUAUUUAUUUAAUUAAGUUAUGUAACACCAAAUUCCCAUUUUUAAAAAAGUAUUUCCCCGUUACACUCAAUAACUGGAUGAGUUAAAAUAAUGUUCUAUGGACAGGUGAGAUAAAAGAAUGUUCUAUGGACAGGUGAGUUAAAGGUAUGUACUAUAGACAGGUGAGUUAAAAUAAUGUUCUAUAGACAGGUGAGUUAAAAUAAUGUUCUAUAGACAGGUGAGAUAAAAUAAUGUUCUAUGGACAGGUGAGUUAAAGGAAUGUUCUAUGGACAGGUGAGUUAAAAUAAUGUUCUAUGGACAGGUGAGAUAAAGGUAUGUUCUAUGGACAGGUGAGAUAAAAGAAUGUUCUAUGGACAGGUGAGUUAAAGGUAUGUACUAUAGACAGGUGAGUUAAAAUAAUGUUCUAUAGACAGGUGAGUUAAAGGUAUGUUCUAUAGACAGGUGAGAUAAAGGUAUGUUCUAUAGACAGGUGAGUUAAAGGUAUGUUCUAUAGACAGGUGAGAUAAAGGUAUGUUCUAUGGACAGGUGAGAUAAAGGUAUGUUCUAUAGACAGGUGAGAUAAAGGUAUGUUCUAUGGACAGGUGAGAUAAAAUAAUGUUCUAUAGACAGGUGAGUUAAAGGUAUGUACUAUAGACAGGUGAGUUAAAGGUAUGUUCUAUAGACAGGUGAGAUAAAGGUAUGUUCUAUGGACAGGUGAGAUAAAAUAAUGUUCUAUAGACAGGUGAGUUAAAGGUAUGUACUAUAGACAGGUGAGUUAAAGGUAUGUACUAUAGACAGGUGAGUUAAAGGUAUGUUCUAUAGACAGGUGAGAUAAAGGUAUGUUCUAUAGACAGGUGAGAUAAAGGUAUGUUCUAUAGACAGGUGAGAUAAAGGAAUGUUCUAUAGACAGGUGAGUUAAAAUAAUGUUCUAUAGACAGGUGAGAUAAAGGUAUGUACUAUAGACAGGUGAGAUAAAGGAAUGUUCUAUGGACAGGUGAGAUAAAACAAUGUUCUAUGGACAGGUGAGAUAAAGGAAUGUUCUAUGGACAGGUGAGUUAAAGGUAUGUACUAUGGACAGGUGAGUUAAAGGUAUGUUCUAUAGACAGGUGAGUUAAAGGUAUGUACUAUAGACAGGUGAGAUAAAGGUAUGUUCUAUAGACAGGUGAGAUAAAGGAAUGUUCUAUAGACAGGUGAGUUAAAAUAAUGUUCUAUAGACAGGUGAGUUAAAAUAAUGUUCUAUGGACAGGUGAGAUAAAGGAAUGUUCUAUGGACAGGUUAGAUAAAACAAUGUUCUAUGGACAGGUGAGAUAAAGGAAUGUUCUAUGGACAGGUAAGAUAAAACAAUGUUCUAUGGACAGGUAGGAUAAAGGUAUGUUCUAUGGACAGGUGAGUUAAAAUAAUGUUCUAUGGACAGGGGGGAUAAAGGAAUGUUCUAUAGACAGGUGAGAUAAAAGAAUGUUCUAUGGACAGGUGAGUUAAAAGAAUGUUCUAUGGACAGGUGAGUUAAAAGAAUGUUCUACGGACAGGUGAGUUUAAAGAAUGUUCUACGGACAGGAGAGUUAAAGGUAUGUUCUAUAGACAGGUGAGAUAAAGGUAUGUUCUAUAGACAGGUGAGAUAAAGGUAUGUUCUAUAGACAGGUGAGAUAAAGGUAUGUUCUAUAGACAGGUGAGAUAAAGGUAUGUUCUAUAGACAGGUGAGAUAAAGGUAUGUACUAUGGACAGGUGAGUUAAAGGAAUGUUCUAUGGACAGGUGAGUUAAAGGUAUGUUCUAUAGACAGGUGAGAUAAAGGUAUGUUCUAUAGACAGGUGAGAUAAAGGUAUGUUCUAUAGACAGGUGAGAUAAAGGAAUGUUCUAUGGACAGGUGAGAUAAAGGUAUGUUCUAUGGACAGGUGAGAUAAAAGAAUGUUCUAUGGACAGGUGAGUUAAAAUAAUGUUCUAUAGACAGGUGAGAUAAAGGAAUGUUCUAUAGACAGGUGAGUUAAAGGAAUGUUCUAUAGACAGGUGAGAUAAAGGUAUGUUCUAUAGACAGGUGAGUUAAAGGUAUGUUCUAUAGACAGGUGAGAUAAAGGUAUGUUCUAUAGACAGGUGAGAUAAAGGUAAAACCCUUUGGACAACAUGAAUCCCAAAAAGCAACACAUUUGAAGUUCUGGAACGGCCGAAUCCAAGUCCAAACCAAAUCCCAACGAGAUGUUUGUGGGAGGAUCUGGGCCAAAAUUCCUCCACAUCGAGGCGAGAUGACAACUACAGGAAGUGUUUGGUUGGAGUCAUGGCAACUAAAGGGAACCAGUUAUUGAGCGGAAGGUGGAAAUCACUUUUCACACGAGGGGCAUAACUACGUUUAUGAAAUAACUGAAAUAAGUGCAAUAAGUGCAAUAAGUGCAAUAAGUGCAAUAAGUGUAAUAAGUGCAAUAAGUGCAAUAAGUGUAAUAAGUGUGCACCUGAUGAUGGUGUGAAGCCGAGGGUCAGUGAACUGCGUUGUUCGGUUGUUGUGAUCCACAAAGUAGAUCCUUCCAGAUACCGUACUCCUCACCUCCCAUCCGGCCGGCAGAGGACCCAACUCCUCACAGCUCACACUGGUCAGGUCCCUGGACCAAUCACAACACACCUCACUGGUCAGGUGCCUGGACCAAUCACAACACAGCUCACACUGGUUCGGUCCCUGGACCAAUCACAACACAC
RNAcentral lists this long non-coding RNA (3045 nucleotides) under Salmo salar (Atlantic salmon). RNAcentral describes it as "lncRNA (ENSSSAG00000115114.1)". The record is from RNAcentral. Lineage: Eukaryota; Metazoa; Chordata; Actinopteri; Salmoniformes; Salmonidae.